GCUUGUCUCAAAGAUUAAGCCAUGCAUGUCUAAGUACAAGCCUCAGUAAGGUGAAACCGCGAAUGGCUCAUUAAAUCACACCUAAUCUACUGGAAAGUUACUAGUUACUUGGAUAACUGAGGUAAUUCUUGAGCUAAUACAUGCGAAAAAUCUCGACUCACGGAGAGAUGCUUUUAUUAGAUCAAAACCAAUGCCUCGUGCUUUUGGUGAGUCAUGAUAACUGCGCGGAUCGCAUGGCCUUGCGCCGGCGACGCUUCAUUCAAAUUUCUGCCCUAUCAACUUUCGAUGGUAAGAUAGAGGCUUACCAUGGUGUUAACGGGUAACGGGGAAUUGGGGUUCGAUUCCGGAGAGGGAGCCUGAGAAAUGGCUACCACUUCCAAGGAAGGCAGCAGG
Molecule: ribosomal RNA, 393 nt
Filed under: uncultured fungus
Lineage: Eukaryota; Fungi
Description: partial small subunit ribosomal RNA
Rfam family: Eukaryotic small subunit ribosomal RNA
Source: RNAcentral